This 465-nucleotide ribosomal RNA is filed under the name Vreelandella stevensii. RNAcentral's name for it is "partial 16S ribosomal RNA". It matches the Rfam family "Bacterial small subunit ribosomal RNA", at positions 338 to 795 of the family's 1533-position model. Lineage: Bacteria; Pseudomonadati; Pseudomonadota; Gammaproteobacteria; Oceanospirillales; Halomonadaceae. The record is from RNAcentral.
CCUACGGGCGGCUGCAGUGGGGAAUAUUGGACAAUGGGCGAAAGCCUGAUCCAGCCAUGCCGCGUGUGUGAAGAAGGCCUUCGGGUUGUAAAGCACUUUCAGUGGGGAAGAAAGCCUUGGGGCUAAUACCCUCGAGGAAGGACAUCACCCACAGAAGAAGCACCGGCUAACUCCGUGCCAGCAGCCGCGGUAAUACGGAGGGUGCGAGCGGUAAUCGGAAUUACUGGGCGUAAAGCGCGCGUAGGCGGUCUGAUAAGCCGGUUGUGAAAGCCCCGGGCUCAACCUGGGAACGGCAUCCGGAACUGUCAGGCUAGAGUGCAGGAGAGGAAGGUAGAAUUCCCGGUGUAGCGGUGAAAUGCGUAGAGAUCGGGAGGAAUACCAGUGGCGAAGGCGGCCUUCUGGACUGACACUGACGCUGAGGUGCGAAAGCGUGGGUAGCAAACAGGAUUAGAUACCCGAGUAGUC